RNAcentral lists this ribosomal RNA (520 nucleotides) under uncultured Entrophospora. RNAcentral's name for it is "SSU rRNA". It matches the Rfam family "Eukaryotic small subunit ribosomal RNA", at positions 569 to 1087 of the family's 1831-position model. The record is from RNAcentral. Lineage: Eukaryota; Fungi; Glomeromycota; Glomeromycetes; Entrophosporales; Entrophosporaceae.
AGCAGCCGCGGUAAUUCCAGCUCCAAUAGCGUAUAUUAAAGUUGUUGCAGUUAAAAGCUCGUAGUUGAAUUUCGGGAUUGACACAUCGGUCGUGCCUUAAGGGGUAUGAACUGGUGUAGUCAAUUUCUCACCUUCUGGAGAACCGCGAUGCCCUUAAUUGGGUGUCGCGGGGAACCAGGACCUUUACUUUGAAAAAUUAGAGUGUUUAAAGCAGGCAUUUUGCUUGAAUACAUUAGCAUGGAAUAAUAAAAUAGGACGGCAUGAUUCUAUUUUGUUGGUUUCUAGGAUCACCGUAAUGAUUAAUAGAGAUAGUUGGGGGCAUUAGUAUUCAAUUGUCAGAGGUGAAAUUCUUGGAUUUAUUGAAGACUAACUACUGCGAAAGCAUUUGCCAAGGAUGUUUUCAUUAAUCAAGAACGAAAGUUAGGGGAUCGAAGACGAUCAGAUACCGUCGUAGUCUUAACCAUAAACUAUGCCGACUAGGAAUCAGACGAUGUUAAUUUUUAAUGACUCGUUUGGCACC